UACGAAGGGGGCUAGCGUUGUUCGGAAUUACUGGGCGUAAAGCGUGCGCAGGCGGCUUCUCAAGUCAGGGGUGAAAGCCCAGAGCUCAACUCUGGAAUUGCCUUUGAGACUGAGAGGCUUGAGUACGGGAGAGGUGAGUGGAAUUCCCAGUGUAGAGGUGAAAUUCGUAGAUAUUGGGAAGAACACCGGUGGCGAAGGCGGCUCACUGGCCCGAAACUGACGCUCAUGCACGACAGCGUGGGGAUCAAACAGG
Molecule: ribosomal RNA, 253 nt
Filed under: uncultured bacterium
Lineage: Bacteria
Description: partial 16S ribosomal RNA
Rfam family: Bacterial small subunit ribosomal RNA
Source: RNAcentral